GGAGAAUUAGCUCAGCUGGGAGAGCAUCUGCCUUCCAAGCAGAGGGUCGGCGGUUCGAACCCGUCAUUCUCCACCA
This 76-nucleotide transfer RNA is filed under the name Staphylococcus aureus. RNAcentral's name for it is "tRNA-Gly". It matches the Rfam family "tRNA". Rfam says of the family: Transfer RNA (tRNA) molecules are approximately 80 nucleotides in length. Their secondary structure includes four short double-helical elements and three loops (D, anti-codon, and T loops). Further hydrogen bonds mediate the characteristic L-shaped molecular structure. tRNAs have two regions of fundamental functional importance: the anti-codon, which is responsible for specific mRNA codon recognition, and the 3' end, to which the tRNAs corresponding amino acid is attached (by aminoacyl-tRNA synthetases). tRNAs cope with the degeneracy of the genetic code in two manners: having more than one tRNA (with a specific anti-codon) for a particular amino acid; and 'wobble' base-pairing, i.e. permitting non-standard base-pairing at the 3rd anti-codon position. Lineage: Bacteria; Bacillati; Bacillota; Bacilli; Caryophanales; Staphylococcaceae. The record is from RNAcentral.